This 365-nucleotide ribosomal RNA is filed under the name uncultured eukaryote. RNAcentral's name for it is "SSU rRNA". It matches the Rfam family "Eukaryotic small subunit ribosomal RNA", at positions 567 to 981 of the family's 1831-position model. The record is from RNAcentral.
CCAGCAGCUGCGGUAAUUCCAGCUCCAAUAGCGUAUAUUAAAGUUGUUGCAGUUAAAACGCUCGUAGUCUGAGGGGGGGCGGGUGAGUGCGUGGCUGUGAGGCUGUGCGCUUGUCUGUCGGUUGGGCCGCGAGGCCUGGAUUACUUUGAGGAAAUUAGAGUGUUCAUUGCAGGCAGUGCUUGGAUACCGCAGCAUGGAAUAAUGGAGUAGGAUUCGCAUCUUAUUUUGUUGGUUUGGGGGUGUGAGUAAUGAUGAAUAGGGGCAGUUGGGGGCAUUGGUAUUUGGCAGCUAGAGGUGAAAUUCUUGGAUUUGCCAAAGACUGACUGGUGCGAAAGCGUUUGCCAAGGAUGUUUUCAUUGAUCAAG